This 638-nucleotide ribosomal RNA is filed under the name Oerskovia sp. Se1Pt_1561. RNAcentral's name for it is "bacterial SSU rRNA". It matches the Rfam family "Bacterial small subunit ribosomal RNA", at positions 383 to 1035 of the family's 1533-position model. Lineage: Bacteria; Bacillati; Actinomycetota; Actinomycetes; Micrococcales; Cellulomonadaceae. The record is from RNAcentral.
CUGAUGCAGCGACGCCGCGUGAGGGAUGAAGGCCUUCGGGUUGUAAACCUCUUUCAGCAGGGAAGAAGCGCAAGUGACGGUACCUGCAGAAGAAGCGCCGGCUAACUACGUGCCAGCAGCCGCGGUAAUACGUAGGGCGCAAGCGUUGUCCGGAAUUAUUGGGCGUAAAGAGCUCGUAGGCGGUUUGUCGCGUCUGGUGUGAAAACUCAAGGCUCAACCUUGAGCUUGCAUCGGGUACGGGCAGACUAGAGUGCGGUAGGGGUGACUGGAAUUCCUGGUGUAGCGGUGGAAUGCGCAGAUAUCAGGAGGAACACCGAUGGCGAAGGCAGGUCACUGGGCCGCAACUGACGCUGAGGAGCGAAAGCAUGGGGAGCGAACAGGAUUAGAUACCCUGGUAGUCCAUGCCGUAAACGUUGGGCACUAGGUGUGGGGCUCAUUCCACGAGUUCCGUGCCGCAGCAAACGCAUUAAGUGCCCCGCCUGGGGAGUACGGCCGCAAGGCUAAAACUCAAAGGAAUUGACGGGGGCCCGCACAAGCGGCGGAGCAUGCGGAUUAAUUCGAUGCAACGCGAAGAACCUUACCAAGGCUUGACAUACACCGGAACUUCCAGAGAUGGUUGCCCCGCAAGGUCGGUGUAC